RNAcentral lists this ribosomal RNA (484 nucleotides) under uncultured bacterium. Its description in RNAcentral is "partial 16S ribosomal RNA". It matches the Rfam family "Bacterial small subunit ribosomal RNA", at positions 30 to 507 of the family's 1533-position model. The record is from RNAcentral.
AUUGAACGCUGGCGGCAGGCCUAACACAUGCAAGUCGAGCGGAUGAAGGGAGCUUGCUCCUGGAUUCAGCGGCGGACGGGCGAGUAAUGCCUAGGAAUCUGCCUGGUAGUGGGGGAUAACGUCCGGAAACGGGCGCUAAUACCGCAUACGUCCUGAGGGAGAAAGUGGGGGAUCUUCGGACCUCACGCUAUCAGAUGAGCCUAGGUCGGAUUAGCUAGUUGGUGGGGUAAAGGCCUACCAAGGCGACGAUCCGUAACUGGUCUGAGAGGAUGAUCAGUCACACUGGAACUGAGACACGGUCCAGACUCCUACGGGAGGCAGCAGUGGGGAAUAUUGGACAAUGGGCGAAAGCCUGAUCCAGCCAUGCCGCGUGUGCGAAGAAGGUCUUCGGAUUGUAAAGCACUUUAAGUUGGGAGGAAGGGCAGUAAGUUAAUACCUUGCUGUUUUGACGUUACCAACAGAAUAAGCACCGGCUAACUUCGUG